RNAcentral lists this ribosomal RNA (426 nucleotides) under uncultured bacterium. Its description in RNAcentral is "bacterial SSU rRNA". It matches the Rfam family "Bacterial small subunit ribosomal RNA", at positions 355 to 772 of the family's 1533-position model. The record is from RNAcentral.
UGGGGAAUUGUUCGCAAUGGGCGCAAGCCUGACGACGCAACGCCGCGUGGGGGAUGAAGGUCUUCGGAUUGUACACCCCUGUCGAGCGGGACGAAUAGCCCGCGACCUAAUACGUCGCGGGAAUGACGGUACCGCUCAAUGAAGCCACGGCUAACUCUGUGCCAGCAGCCGCGGUAAUACAGAGGUGGCAAGCGUUGUUCGGAAUUACUGGGCGUAAAGGGCGCGUAGGCGGCCUUCUAAGUCAGACGUGAAAUCCCCCGGCUUAACCUGGGAACUGCGUCUGAUACUGGGAGGCUAGAGUGCGGGAGAGGGAUGCGGAAUUCCAGGUGUAGCGGUGAAAUGCGUAGAUAUCUGGAGGAACACCGGUGGCGAAGGCGGCAUCCUGGACCGACACUGACGCUGAGGCGCGAAAGCUAGGGUAGCAAA